AGGAAGCGGCGCGCGCAGCGGGCGGCCGGAGCCGGGACCCCGGGCGCAGGUGCACUGGUGCCAGAGUGGCAAUCAAGGUCAAAGGCGUGUUCCUUUGAGCCCCGCACCAAAAGACUGCCUAGACUCCAAAGAGCCUUGGAGGCUAGGUCUUGGCGGAAACCUCUAAGCACUGAACAAUUUGACCUUGGGGCGUCAGUUUAAAAGGCCGUGGUUGUUCCUGAACCGGGGUGCCGAGGCUGAAUCCAAGAAAGAGCUUAGUCCUUGCCAAGGAUAUAGUGCCUCAGUUCUGGUCCAACUCACGGUCGGGGAAAGCCGUGCUGGUUAAAGAUUAAAAUCUGGAGUCCGGGCGACAAUGCCGAUCCUCAACAUUUGAGAGACUCAGCAUCAGAGGGAAUACCCACAGAGACACAAGGAGAGUGUAUCCUUCCCUCCGGAGGUGAAAGACUGUGAGAAGGUAUGAAGGAUUGGGAGUAGUGCUGGAGCACAUAAUGGAAGGAAGGGUCCCAGAGAGGUGGCUUUGCUUGCAGGAAGUGGAAGUUAGAGGGACAAACGAGGAACAGGAAGUGGGAAGAUGGCUCCUGGGACCCAUGAUCAGGCCUGAGCGGUUCAGAGCUUCGGAGAAGGCAAGGAGAUGAGCUGUGGGGCAGAAAGAUUUGCACACCUUGGGUCCCGGGACUGUCCUGCUCAGCUGAGUGGAAUACCAAACGAGGGUGUCUUGAAGCUGAGCUUCACCUCAGCCAGGCAAUCGACAGGAGAAGCAGCGAGCGAGACCGACAGACUGUCACUGGCAAAAUGAACUGUCACCUCCCAUUUUUCAGAGGCGCGGCGGGAUGAAUUGCAGCCUUGAACCGUGCGGCCCGCUGCUGAUUGAGUUCCGCUGUCUUAGAACCCCGUCGAACAAGGCGAGUUCAUUUCAGACUGACGUCCCACCGCUUAUCAAUUUAGGAGCUAGUAAAAUUAACCGCUUCGGAGCUGAUUUUCGCCCUCCCCCUGGCUCGGAUUCCACAUCCGGAAAGGUCACGAAAAUAAAUCUCUCUGGGUCCCACUAACAUAAUACGUGGUCUAGAAAUGAGGUCUCACAAGACUGAAGCCAAACAUAACCCAGGUCCCAAAGCUUACUGGGGGCCCUUUGGAGCCACCGGCCCAUGGCAAUAGUGUGACCUGCCAGACGUUUGUUAACCCUACGCCUGCACACACCAGCAACUACUGCUCCCAGGAGCCUACCAUCGGGAAGGGUUGGGUAGCAAAGGAUGAAGCUGCCUCCCAAGUUCCCCAUGACUUUCUGCAGAGAAGCGAGUAUUCCUUAUCCUCCUGUCUUCAGGUCCCUUCAUACACAUAGUGAGUAGAUGCCCAACAAAUGAUUAUAAAGCCAAAUAAGAUGGUGAUGUUUGCUAAAGCACUGGUAAUUAUUUUGAAAAGUUUAAACACAUGUGCAGGGUUUGAGGAAAAGGAGAAGGAUUAUGAUCCAGGAAAAUAUUGCUUGUCACCCGCCACUCCCCAACACAUCCCAUACCAGAAAUGGCUCCUGAGGGCAGAGCUGAACGCACACCAGAACAGCGUCUCUGUCUCCAGAAGCAAAGAGCACCUUCUGCUUUGAUUCUUCAACAUGGCUUAACUGCUCUGGAAGGCCCACAUCUGCAUCAUGGAUACCAACAGUUGUCUCAGCAUCCUUUGGCACCUCUCUUCCCCAAGGCAAAUGUCGGCAGUGUUUAUUUCCAGAAAUAGCAUCAAACCUUUUCAGGAUGGCCUGUUUUCAGCCUUGCUUGAGCUCCUGGGGCCUCUCUACCUCUUUCUGGAAGUGUCCACCUCUUUCUUAACAAGGGUAUCCCAUCUCAGAAUACAGGACACAGGUUUUCCCUUGGAAGCAGUGUGAGAAAGAAGGGCCUGCGGGCAUGCCACUGGCUUCAGACAGAAACUCCAGCAAACAUCAGGGCAGGGACCGGAUGAUUUUGCUCAGCCACGGUCUACCCCAGAGUAGCCAUCUCUGUUGCAGUUUUGUUCUCAGCCUUUUUCUAAGAGAUUUACUUCUGUG
Long non-coding RNA from Mastomys coucha (southern multimammate mouse), 2032 nucleotides. RefSeq lists it as uncharacterized. NCBI's taxonomy places the organism in Eukaryota, Metazoa, Chordata, Mammalia, Rodentia, Muridae. The transcript has 4 exons. The record is from RefSeq and is a predicted model, not a curated record.